Molecule: ribosomal RNA, 266 nt
Filed under: uncultured Atopobium sp.
Lineage: Bacteria; Bacillati; Actinomycetota; Coriobacteriia; Coriobacteriales; Atopobiaceae
Description: partial 16S ribosomal RNA
Rfam family: Bacterial small subunit ribosomal RNA
Source: RNAcentral
UAAAGUGGCGAACGGCUGAGUAACACGUGGGCAACCUGCCCUUUGCACUGGGAUAGCCUCGGGAAACCGAGGUUAAUACCGGAUACUCCAUAUUUGUCGCAUGGCGAAUAUGGGAAAGCUCCGGCGGCAAAGGAUGGGCCCGCGGCCUGUUAGCUAGUUGGUGGGGGUAGUGGCCUACCAAGGCAAUGAUGGGUAGCCGGGUUGAGAGACCGACCGGCCAGAUUGGGACUGAGACACGGCCCAGACUCCUACGGGAGGCAGCAGUC